Molecule: long non-coding RNA, 15073 nt
Filed under: Zea mays
Lineage: Eukaryota; Viridiplantae; Streptophyta; Magnoliopsida; Poales; Poaceae
Description: long non-coding RNA (ZMAY_LNC004330)
Source: RNAcentral
UUCUUCAUCAAAGAAAUAUGCAAAAUUUUUGUGAUAUAGAAAAGAUUUUCUUCACGAAGCAUGAAAAGAAGGGAAGGUGUUUUUUCGCCGAAGGCUCAAAAAUGGUAUGUAUGCAAAAUUUCAUGCAUCGUAAAGAAUUAAACUAUAAAUAGAUUAUAUAUUACAUUCAAAGUUACAAUGUAUUACACAUGUUACGUUCCAAAUGUUUCUACAAUAGCGUUUAAUCCUCCUUAAGAACUAUUUCUGCAGCUUCGUUCAGUAGCUGGUCGACAACCUUGUCCAUAAUGGCUUCGGCCAUUUUUCUAAUUUCAUUGUCCCCCUUCGGAUGGGGGCCCGGAGAUGCCUCAGCAGGUUCUGAGGGAAGAGAAGAUACGGCUAUAUUACUAUUACAAACCGCGAACAAAGUCUGGAAUUAAAAAUUACAACAUAAUAAAAACCACUAAUUAAUACCUAUUUGCCCUUCGGGCUCUGUACUUUUCUCGGCAGCUUCUGUCACUUUUCUAGCAUCGUUGAUGCCUUUUUCACUCUUUUGAAUAAUUUCUUGUGCCAUUUCUCGGCCGCCGUUGUCCCAGAUAUCGGUGAAGAAUUUUCCGCCGACCAUGCUUGCUUCGGCUGAGGGGUCUUUAAUGUCUUCGGAGGACAAAGUAGCUUCGAACUGCGCUAAGGAUUUUUCAUGCUCGCAACCUUUCCUCUCCAAAACAGUAGCAAUUCCUCUAGCACCCGAAAAAGCACAUAUGUCACUGCGGUUAUUCAGGAUUUCCUCGAAGGCCUCUGCUUCGUGACUGAUUCAUUCCAUUGGACCUUCGGGAUUGCCUCUUGAGAAAUUCUCUUCACUAGAGAAUGUGCCAACGUUGGCGAAGCUGGAUUUUAUCUUCUUAACGCACUCUAUGGAUUUAACAUAGCAUUUUCUCUGGGAUGCACGAAGCUCUUUAACACUUAUUUCUAAAUGAUUGGCCCAUUGAUCACUAAGCUCUCGUUUUGUCUCUUCAAGUAUAUGUUCUUCUUUAGCUCUAGCUAGCUAUUUCUGAAGAUCUUUAAUUUCACGUUUUUGGGCUUCAGCUUGGGCCUUUGAGGUAGCUUCGUCCUCUUUUACCUUGUCCACCAAUGUAAGCAGAAUUUUAUCCUUUUCCAGAGCUUCGUUUCUCAGUUUAAUAACCUCUGAUCGUAGGUUGUUGAAAGCAAUUUCAUAGCUCUCGUCUUCGGCAUUCUUUUGCGCUCUCAACGCGUUGCUUAGUAUUAAACCCUAUAUGUAAAAGAGUUGGCAUAAGAAUAAAAGAAUGAGUUGCGAAUUAUAAAAUUUCCAAACGCGCAGUUCUCAUACCUUCAGACUAUUGUACGCAAGACUAUCCGCAAGAUCGACCUUCGUCAUAGCGCAUAAUCCAGCUUCAAGCUUCGGAAACCCCAUACUCCUAGCCAUCUCCCGGCACACAGAUAAUUCUUUGUUGUCUGGGAGGCAGUAUAGGAAGUCAUCUUUGUCUGUCCCAUUGAACACUAGUGCCCCCUUCGGAUAUUUCAAUUCUCUGGCAUAGUGAUUAGCUUCAAAAUUUUCUUCUUCGGAUAAUUUCUUUCCCGAAGCGUGUCGCACAGUAUAAUUGUAUAUUUUUGAAGGUGCUUCGGGGGCGGCAGUGUCGGUUUCUUCAACCAAAAUUGGCUCUGAUAUUUUUAUUUUCUCGGCUGCCUCUGCAAUGUUCGUUUCUUCGGUUUCAAAAGGUUUUACCUUGGUUGGCUCUGAAGGCCCAGCUUCAGUUUCAAAUUGUUGCUUCGAAGCUUCGGCACCAAAGGCUUCAGUAGACACUUCCGAAGUUUCAACAGUUCUCUUUGGAGUUAUGCUUGAAGAUUUAAUUGUCUCCAAAACAUCUAAUACAUUAACCAUUCUUUUUCUUUUUGGGGUUACGAUUGGACCUUUCGGCACCAAAACUUCUGAUGUUUUUGCUUUUUCGGUCCUUGGUUCUUCCAAUUUUUCUGUUGCUGGCACUUCGGUCAGCUCUUUGAUUUCUGGCAGCAGAGUCUUUGGUUCUUCCAAUUUUUCUGUUGCUGGCACUUCGGCCAGCUCUUUGGCUCCUGGCAGCAGAGUUGAUUCCUUAGCCUUGGGGGCCGAAGAGGUCUCACCGGCGAACUCAGGCACUGUGGCUAGUUCAAUGUAACGUGGCCGGUGUGUAAGAACCUUUACCCUUUUCCUCUUCGGCGCCGGCUCAGUAGGAGCGGCUGAGGCAGUUUCUUUCGCAGAAGAAGUGUUCUUUCUUUUUUGACCCUGCACUGGAUAAUGGUAGUCGGGGUACACGAACCCAAUUGCGUCAAAUACUCAGUUCAGUCUUUUCUUUUUUCGACCUCCGAAAGCUGCUGACAAUGCAGUAUCUUCGGCCUUUGAAUAUACUCCAAGCAGUUCAUCACUUACAGUUUCAAUGCUUUUUAGCCAGUCAUCAUCUGGCUCAACGAAUUUAUCUCCAAACUUAAAUGUGUACUUCAGCCUGACUAGUCCACUUUCGUCAGUCUCUUUAAUGUUCUCCUGCGGCAUCUCCCAUUUUUCCACAAGCGGCCAUACUCUGAAGGCAAUGUGUUCUUGGACCAAAUCCCUCGUCCCAAUAAAAGAGCAAACAACUCCGAAGGCUCUCGGCAUUCUUCGGCUGCUUCAUUCAUUUCCACCUUCGGCCUCCGCAGGCCGAAGCGUUGCCAGAUGGGAUGCAUAAUGAUCUUCUUUAUAUCUUCUCGAGAUUUCAAGUCAUUCUUCACGUAAAACCAUUCCGUCAUCCAGUCGCCAGGCCAUCUCUUUUGAAAAGUCGGCACGGGGCAGCUUGACCCAGACCGAGAGCCGAAGCUGUAGCAGCCAAAGUUGUUGUGAUAUUGUUCCUUACCCUAGGGUUUUGUCUCAUAUAACAAUUCGUAUAUGUUGCAGAAGCUUUUCGCAUCAGGUUCCAAGCCUUGGCUUCUCACGGCCCACACGAAGAUAUUCAUCCUUAUGAUUUCUUCGGGGGUAAGUUGGUGAAGGUAGAUUUCAAAUAUCUUCAGCACCUCUACAACAAAACUGCUUAGGGGAAAUCGUAGUCCAGCUUUCAAGAAGCUUCGGAAUACUACGACUUCAUUUUCCUCAGGAGUUGGACAAGUUCUCUCUCCUUCGUCGGCCCUCACAACGGACAAGUCCCGGAAAUAUCUUCCCCUCAUGUUGACAAGAUGAUUUUCUUUAAUACUUGAUUUGCCGAAAACCGCAUGGCUUGGUCGCCAAGGUCGAUCUUCGGAGUCUUCACCACCACUAUCCACAUCAUAGCUGUCGCUGUCACCAGUAUCUUCAGAUAAACCUUCUAAAAUUUCUUUGGUGAUCUUCUCUGUAUUAGUCUUCGACAUAGAUUGAAGAAAAACCAGAUGCAUUUCCUCAGAAAGACUCAGCUUCGAACCACCAACAACUUUGUUAUCUUCAGACAUCCUUGCAAACGCUAAGAAAGUGCUUUCAACGCCGAAGCCUUAAAAUUUAAAAGGCCGAGUAAAGGCUGUUGCGCGUAGGCUAAAGGUUGGGUGAGUAAAAACAGUUGGCAAGAUAGCGUGUCAAAUAACUCGGGGUGAGCUCUUAUUUAUACGCCCAGGGCGUUGGAAACUGGAGGGUCCCGCUUGUCAAAGACUGUUGCUAUUCUAGCAAAGAGAAGGUGUUUUUUCGGACCUUCGGCUUAAGGCCUUCGUCCAUUUCGCAAUAUGAAUUUAUCAUUACAGCAAAAUUAAUAUUGCGAGGGGCUACUGUUGGGGGCCUUCGGCUUCCGAAGGUCCUCAAAAACGUGAUUUGACAAAUGUUUUCUAAGUAUGCGAGCAGGUAUCUUCGGAAUCAGGUUGCGGGUAUACAGAAACAUGGUCAAGACGAAGCUUGACUGGGACGACGAUCACGACGAAGGAUAAGAUGAUCACGAAGCUACGUGCAGAAGAGCUUCGGCAUAACGACGGGAAGGGGAAACCGACUUUAAGAUGAAAAUCCAAAUUAGACCUCAAAGAAUUACUAUAGAGUUAUUGAUAAAUGUAAAGGACAUUAAUGUAAUCUUGCAUGGGCUGCGACCCGUGCCUAUAAAUAGGUGAACAAUAUUCCUGUACUGUUCACGCUGACUUGGCAUUCACUUUUGCGUCACACCUGUAUUCUCUUUCCUUCAAGCCGAAGGUACAUUUGUAAUUUAUCAUUGUUUACAUAAGCAAUAUAAAUGGAGAUAGAUUAAUAAUAAUGUUUACAGAAAUUAUGUUACUUUCUGUACUUUGUUCGAAUGUUCUCCAUCUUUUUAUCAUGAUCAUGAAGAUAUGUCCUUCAUGACCUUCGUCCUAAAUUCGUUAUAUCCAAAGGGAAAUAAUGAUUUGAAGGACGAAGGGCUUUGAUAUUUAACAUUUUAUGUUGCCUUGUUCUUGAUUCAUAGCAUUUGAGAACAAGUCCCAACAUAUUGCAUAGUAAAUAUUCAUAUGAAGCUAACGCAACUGGAAUGGCUCGAUUCGGAGUUAAAAUGGGGAAGUUAUGAAUUUCCCAAGUUUUAUGUAUUUGAUAUAAGAUUAAUUAGGAAAUAAAUUUUAAAGUGACUUUCAUGUCAAAACAGUGGCACUAUUUGGUAAACAACAACAUUACAAAAUUAUAGGAAUUAAAAUGGACUAAUUUGAAUUUAACAUGAAUUUCCUAUUGAUUAAACAAAUUCUAGCAAUUAUUUUUAUAUUAAAAAUUCCUUUCCAAAUUAUUUUUCUCUGAUUUUACUAACUCUCAAUACUACGCGCCAAUUACAAAGAAGUCCAGGGGCUUUAUCAAAAGAAUCCCCAGACCCAGUCAACAGUGCUCGGGACGACGGGUUUAUAUCUAAUUUCUGUGGGGUCUCUUUUGUAAAACGUACGAGGCCAAAGGGUUACGGUUAACUCUAGACCACUCGAUCCGCUACGGACGGCCUAGAUUCAAGAUCGUGAAUGAUUAUUUCUGCUCUAAUCUUAACCAUACCUUACCGAUCUAACGGUCACCGUUUCCAACCUGUUGGGCCCAUGCUUCGUUGCGCCGAAGGUCUUGCGUGAAGAAGCAGCUUCGGCUGAAAUCGUCCCCAGGAAAUGGCCGAAGGUUCCUUUUUAUAGAGCUUCGGCGUUGCAAACCGACAUAAAGAUAGAAUGACCUUUUUAUCCUUAGAGGUCUAAGAUAAUGUUGUAAACUUUUGUAAAGGGCAUAAUUGUAAUUCGUCACAGGCUGCGUCCUGUGUCUAUAAAUAGAUGAACAGUACCCCCGUACUGUUCACACGCUGACUUGGCAUUUGCUUUUGCGUCACGCUUGUACUUUUUACCUUCUCUCAGGACCGAAGGUACAUUUGUAAUUUGAAAUCAUUUCUAUUUUUCCAUGUUAAUAAAAUAGAAAUGAUUCUAUGAUGAUGCUUAUAUUAUAUUUCAUGCUUUAUAUGAGUCCUUCGUCAUUACUUGUUAUGUUUACGAAGGUAUGUCUCUUAUGACCUUCGUCCGAAAUUCAUUAUUUCCCGAAGGGACAUAAUGCUUCGAAGGACGAAGGACUUUAACACUUAACACUUUUUAUGUUGCCUUGUUCUUAACUCUUAGCAUUUGAGAACAAGUCCCCAACAUUGGCGCCCACCUCCGGUGAACUCACUUCCACUUUUCUGAGCUGAUGGCUUCGUUCAACAAUCAAGCUGGAGUUGCUUCGGACCCGAAGCUGGUGCUCCCGAUCACAGGUGGCUCGUCCUCAGAGCCAGCUAACAAGAAGCAGAAGAAGGAAGCGCAGAGAAGAGUACAGCAUGUUGGGGUGCAAGGACCCUUCAUCAAAUCAAGAUGGUCUCACAUUCCUAUUACCUUCUCUCAAGAGGACCUUCAGCUCAAAGAUUACCCACACAACGAUGCCAUGGUUAUCUCUUGUGUUAUCAAAGGAUUUCUGGUUCACAAUGUCUUGGUCGAUACAGGCAGUGCAGCUGACAUCAUAUUUGCUAAAGCCUUCAGACAGAUGCAAGAGCCAGAAGAUAAGAUUCAUGAUGCUACACAUCCUCUUUGUGGCUUCGGAGGAAGACAGAUUGUAGCACUGGGCAAGAUCACCAUGUCAGUAACCUUCGGAUUCAUCAACAACACUAGAACUGAGCAAGUUGUGUUUGACAUUGUUGACAUGGAAUAUCCUUACAAUGCAAUUAUUGGUCGUGGUACUCUUAAUGCCUUCGAAGCAAUCCUUCAUCCUGCCUAUCUUUGCAUGAAGAUACCUUCGGACCAAGGGCCUAUUGCUAUCCAUGGAAGCCAGGAAGCUGCUAGAAGGGCCGAAGGAAGCUGGACCGACUCCAAGGCAAUCCAUAAUAUAGAUGGAACUGAAGCUUGUGAACAGUACAAAUUCAGAAGGGAGAAGGCAGCUUCAGCAGAUCAGCCGAAGCCCAUGCUAUUGUGUGAGGACAUAGCAGAGCAGAAGGUGCUGUUGGGCUCGCAAUUAUCUGAAGACCAGGAGAAAACCUUGAUAAGGUUUUUAUUCAACAACAAAGAUGUUUUUGCAUGGUCGGCUAAUGAUCUCUGUGGAGUAAAUCGGGAUGUUAUUGAACAUUCGCUCAAUGUUGACCCAUCCUUCAGACCCCGAAAGCAGAGGCUUCGGAAAAUGUCUGAUGACAAGGCCGAAGGGGCUCGCAAUGAAGUAAAAAGACUCCUCAGUGCAGGAGUUAUCAGAGAAGUGAAGUAUCCAGAGUGGCUAGCUAACACUGUUAUGGUGAAGAAGGCCAAUGGCAAGUGGAGAAUGUGUAUCGAUUUCACAGAUCUCAACAAGGCUUGUCCGAAGGACGAAUUCCCGUUGCCAAGGAUAGACUCUCUAGUCGAUGCAGCAGCUUCUUCAGAGCUCAUGAGUCUCUUGGACUGUUACUCAGGAUAUCAUCAAAUCUGGAUGAAAAAGGAAGAUGAGCCGAAAACUAGCUUCAUAACUCCAAGUGGCACGUAUUGCUAUCUUCGGAUGCCUGAGGGGCUCAAAAACGCUGGAGGAAGUUUCAGCAGAAUGACUGCGAAGGUUCUUCAGUCUCAAAUAGGCAGAAAUGUGUUGACCUAUGUUGAUGACAUUAUCGUCAAAAGCACGAAGCAGGAAAAUCAUAUUGUUGAUCUGCAGGAGACCUUCGCCAGCUUCAGACAAGCUGGUUUGAAGCUGAAUCCAGAGAAAUGUGUCUUCGGAGUAAAGAAGGGUAAAUUUCUUGGAUGCUUGGUUUCAACAAAGGGAAUCGAAGCUAAUCCAAAUAAAAUCGAAGCUAUACUUCGAAUGGAGCCACCAACUACAAGAAAAGGGGCCCAAAGAUUGACAGGAAGGCUGGCAUCUCUCAACAGAUUUAUAUCCAGAUCAGCAGAAAGAAACUUACCAUUUUUCGAGGUGCUGAAGUCAGCCGAAGUCUUUCAAUGGGGCCCAAGUCAACAAAAAGCCUUCGAAGAGUUGAAGCAAUACUUGAUAGAUCUCACAACAUUAACUCCGCCAACGCCAGGGGCUCCUCUGUUGUUAUAUGUGGCAGCUUCGCACUCAGCAGUAAGUGCGGCGCUUGUCCAGGAGAAGCUUUAUGGCCAGCUUAAGAAGCAAGUUCCAGUGUAUUUUGUAUCUGAGGUCCUUAGUGUCUCAAAGAAAAAUUAUACAGAGCUGGAGAAGGUAUUAUAUGCCGUUUUAAUGGCAUCCAGGAAGCUUCGGCAUUAUUUUCAGGCAUACAAUAUCAUUGUUCCUUCUUCGCAGCCGUUGAAGGAUAUAAUGAGAAAUAGAGAAGCUACUGGACGGAUUGGGAAAUGGGCUGCAGAGCUCAACGAAUUUUACAUUGAUUAUGUGCAUAGAUCUUCGAUCCAGUCUCAAGCAUUGGCAGAUUUCAUUGCCGACUGGACGCCAGGGGCUCAGGAUGAAGAAGCAAAUAAAGAUGCCGAAGUGUGGACAGUGUUUUGUGAUGGCUCUUGGGGAAUCUUCGGAGCAGGUGCAGCUGCUGUGUUGGUUUCACCAUCCAAGGUCAAAACUUGUUAUGCAGCAAGACUUGAUUUCAGCUGCACGAACAAUAUUGCUGAGUACGAAGCCCUGCUUUUGGGCCUUCGGAAAUUAAAGGCAAUGGGAAUCAGAAGGGCAAUUCUUAAAACUGAUUCCCAGGUGGUUUCGGGUCAUGUUGACAAAAGUUGCAAGGCUAAAGAUCCGAAGCUUGAAAAAUAUCUAGAUACGGUCCGAAGGAUCGAAGCAUCCUUCGAAGGAUUCUCUGUCAAGAAUAUUCCUCGAGGACAAAAUGAGCAUGCUGAUUUGCUAGCUAAGUCUGCGGCACAGGGGCUGCCGUUACCUUCGGAUGUGUUCUUCGAAACAAUAAAGGCACCUUCAGUGGAGCUCCUUGAAAGAGCAGUCCUCAACAUAUCUCCUGUUUACAGCGAAGAUUGGAGAACUGAAAUAAUCUCUUACCUUCAGGGUAAGUUCCUUUCAGAUGACGAAGCUUACAAUAAAAGAAUAGAGGCAAGAGCUCGUCCGUAUGUCAUGAUAGAAGGGGAAUUAUACAAACAUGGAGUUUGCGCUCCGCUGCUCAAGUGCUUAUCUAGAGCCGAAGGUAUAGAGUUGAUGAAAGAGAUACAUGCAGGCCUGUGUGGAUCCCACAUCGGAUCCAGGCCAUUACUUGGGAAAGUCUUCCGCCAAGGGUUUUAUUGGCCGAAGGCAGCUUCGGAUGCGGCGGAGUUAGUGCAAAAGUGCGAAGGUUGUCAGAAAUGUGCAAGAGAUCAAAAACAACCUUCGUCUUUGACACAGCUGAUACAACCCAUCUGGCCAUUGCAAAGGUGGGGCCUUGACUUGUUGGGUCCAUUACCACCGGCUCAAGGGAAUCUAAAAUAUGUUAUAGUGGCUGUGGAGUAUUUUUCCAAGUGGAUUGAGGCGAAGCCAUUGGCCACAAUAACUUCGGCCACUGUCCAAAAGUUUUUCUGGCAGAAUAUUGUCUGUCGCUUCGGGGUACCGAAGGCAAUCACUGUAGAUAAUGGAACGCAGUUUGACUCCGAAGCUUUCAGAAAUUUCUGUGAUCAAAUUGGAACGAAGAUCCAUUUUGCAUCAGUCAGGCAUCCGGAGUCAAAUGGGCUCGUUGAAAGGGCCAACGGCAUUAUAAUGACAGGAAUAAUGAAGUUAAUCUUCAAUCAACCCAGGGGAAAGUGGCCAGAUCAGUUAAUCAAAGUGGUGUGGAGCCACAAUACAACAACAUCAAGGUCUACAGGCUUUACCCCAUUCAAAUUAUUAUUCGGUGACGAAGCAAUAACUCCGGAGGAAGCAAAAGCUGGAUCAAUAAGAGUAGUAGCUUCGGCAGAAUCAGGUCCCGAAAAUGCUUGCCUUGUGGAAAAGGAUGCUUUAGAAGGGAUCAGGCUUCAGGCCGUGGAGAAUAUCAAUAAAUAUCAGGCUGAAACAGUUAAAUGGCGAGAUAGAAAAGUCCGGCUAAAAAAUAUUGAGCCGGGACACUUGGUGCUUCGGAGAGUGGCUAACCCAGAUACAGUGGGUAAGCUACAGUUGAAAUGGGAAGGACCAUUCUUAGUAGUAUCUUCGUCAAGGCCUGGAUCAUACAGAUUGAAGGACAUGGAUGGCAACGAAAUUCCAAGGUCUUGGAAUGCGGAUGAGCUUCGGCGAUACUAUGUAUAACAUGAUGUAAUUUUUUAUGUUUUUUCUUUUCUUUUUCAUGGCACCCUUUUCCUUUCCGAAGGGGGAGAAAGGUUUUUAAUGGGGCCAUCAUGUGUAAUUUCCUUUUUUAGUCUUAUAAGAGCAAAAUCCCCCAAAAAAUGUAAAUGUAACAGCUGAGAACGCACCAUCGAGUGCAGAAACUGAAAAAGAAAAAAGAGAAGAAGCUCCAAAGACGUUCCUAAGGGAAUGCAGAGCUUAUACCGCCUAAGUAAAAGGCGAAGAAACUCCAAAGACGUUCCUAAGGGAAUGCAGAGUUUAUACCGCCUAAGUAAAAGACGAAGAAGCUCCAAAGACGUUCCUAAGGGAAUGCAGAGCUUAUACCGCCUAAGUAAAAGGCGAAGAAACUCCAAAGACGUUCCUAAGGGAAUGCAGAGUUUAUACCGUCUAAGUAAAAGACGAGGAAGCUCCAAAGUCGUUCCUAAGGGAAUGCAGAGCUGAUGUGUGGUUGAUUCCAAGGAAAUAAUGGUUGAGUGUGGCUUCGGUUAUAUGCUUUGGACAUUCAUUCGCACAUUACAUCAUAGCAUUUGCAUUCAUAAGCAUUCAUUCAUAGCAUUUGUGUUCCUAAGUGGUUGCUUCGGCAAAAGGAAGAAGUGGUCUUUUAUGUUUCGUCAUGUACAAAAAGAAAAAGCUUCGGCAAGAAGAAGAAGCGGUCUUUUAUGUUUCGUCAUGUACAAGAAAGAAAAAGCUUCGGCAAGAAGAAGAAGCGGUCUUUUAUGUUUCGUCAUGUACAAAAAAGAAAAGCUUCGGCAAGAGGAAGAAGCGGUCUUUUAUGUUUCGUCAUGUACAAAAAAGAAAAGCUUUGGCAAAAAGAAGAAAUGGUCUUUUAUGCUUCGUUGUGUCCGAAAAGAAGGGAAGGUGUUUUUUCGCCUUCGGCUCAAAAUACUGAUUUCGUCCACAUCAAAGCGUCUCAAUAAAAGGGUAAGAAUAUAUUACAAGGUAUGAACAAAGUUCCUUGAGAAUAGAUUAAUUGUAUUUACAAAAAGUUGUUACAAAUUCUCCUGAGUUUUUUCUAGUCUACUCCUAAUAAUCUUCGUCAGGUUUCUGCUUCGGCGGCAUAUCCUUUAAGUAUCACCUUCAGCUUCGUCAUCCUACAUGAAUCAAGGUAUCCCGAGUAAAAAUCAAGUGUGAAGGAGGAGGUAAGUACAAAGUAUGAUUUCUUACUGGUUCAAGAUGACUUCGAGCUUCGUCCCCAGCCUUCUCUCGCCCGCCUUUUGUCCAUAUCAUUUUUAUGAAUCUAUUUGAGAUGCUCCGGGCGAGGUCAGGAAUGUCGUCGAGAAUUGAUGGAGACAGGGCGAAGUUGGGCCUGUUGACAAUCUUUCCAUGCUCGCAGCCAGCCUUCAGGAAUGCUGCAGCAGUACCCCGAGAAGCUACCCAGGCACAGAAGUCACCAUGCCCAGCUAUAACUUCGUCAAGUUCUUCAAUUUCAGCUUCGAUAUGAUCGAAGGCUUUUGGUAAAUCUUCAUCCGAAGGGGUAAAUUUCCCGCUGCUGGCUCCAACUGAGUAAAAGAUCUUCUUUAGUUGUUGGAUACAAUUGUUGCUAAAAUUCAAACAUUUAUCCUGAAGGCUUGUUAAUGAUUUCUUCAAAUUUGAGUUGGCUUGGACUUCGGCUUCAAGUUUCGAGUCAAGUUUUAGCUUCUCUUGUUCAAAUUGUUUUGAUUGGCAGAGAAGCUUCGAAUUCAAUUCUGCUACUUUGGCUUCAGUCUCUGCCAGCAAGCCUUCGGUUGAUUGAAGUUCGAAGUCUUUCUUUUCAAUAAUAGCUGAUUGUUCUUUUAUCUUGCUCUCUAAAUUUUCAAUUAUAGCUUCGUGCUUUUUAUCUUCUAGAUCUUGCUGCAUCCUCAAAGCUUUGCUUAGAAGCAUGCUCUGCAAAUAAACAACCUUCGUUAAAAAAUAUUGCCAUUAUUAAAAAACAAUAGAAGUUAGAGAGAAGGAUGUUUACCUUGAAAUUUGAAUAAAAUAAGCUGCCGACGAUAUGUUGUCGUCGGUAGCGGCUGAUGUCUGUCUCUAGUUUCGGAAAACCGAUACUCUUUGAUAGAGUACCGAUGACCUUAGCCCCAGCUGAGUCCCGGAUGCAGCCCAGUUUUUCAUCAUCAAUGCCUCCAAAUAGAAGAGCUCCUGGCUUGUAUCCGCAAGAUUUGGCGUAUUCCUUAAGCUCUUCUUUUUCGGCCUUCGACAGUUUUUGCCCGACUAAAUUUUGAAAUGAGUAGGCUUCGUCGUCCGAAGUGUCUUCGGCUAUUUCUUUCCCUUUCCCAGGCACUGUGGCCAUGGUUUCUUCAGCAGUGGUGGCAGCUUCUUCUGCAGCCAUGUCUGUUAAAAUUUUGUUGAUGUCUUCAAUAGUAGAUUCUAAGUUUACAUCUUCGGCUGUAGCGGCUUCGGUAGCCGUGACCUCCGAAGGUGCGACUUCGACAUUUUCUGUGCCCACAACAGCUGGUGUUUUCUGGAUUGACGCCCUCGGUGGCGUCUUGUCAAUAACUUCUGUUACGGCAAUAAUUCUUUGCCUUUUCGCUUUGGCUAUCUUCGUUUUUUCCGGCUCCGCCACCUUUUGAAAAAGCUUCGUCAGUCGAGGCCCUAAUGGACUUAGCUUCGUGGGCAUGGGUUCAGUCAUUACCUUUAGAAUUUCCUCCACGUCGCUAGUAGAAGGUGGUGUGGGGGUCCCCUCUUCUUCGGAUAGUUUUCGCUUUGGAGUUGAUAUUUUUCUCUUGACAAUUUUCUUCUUUUUUGGUGGUUGUUCUUCAUCCUUGUUUAAAGCUUCGGCCGCUCUUUUUCUUCUCUGGCCCUCAGCACCCUUGUUCAGCUGCGCAUAAUCAGGAUAUUCGAAACCCAGUGCAUCAAGCACUCGGUUCAGCCUUCGCUUCGGACGGGUGCCGAAGGCUGCUGUCAUCAGUUGAUCUUCCUUUUUCGAAUAAUUUCCAAGAAUUUCAUUACACAUCACCUCAACUGUAUCCAGCCACUCUUGGCAGGGCUUCUUAAAAUAUUUCUUGAAUUUGAAGUGGUAAGGAAGCCGGACAAGAUCCCCUUCCUUCUUCUCCCCCUUUAACUUUGGCAUUUCCCAUUUUUUCAGAGUAGGGAAGACUCUGAAUGCUAAGAAUUCUUGAACCAGAUCCCUGGUACCAAUAUGCUCUGCAACGAUUCUGAAUUCAUCCAUUGCCCGUUGAGUUUGACCCUCUGGUGUCAUGUUGCAGUGGGGUCGGGUUUCUCCAAAAGUUAGCUCGAGUGGACUUUGCACAAGCUUCUCCUUGUCCUCAUCAACCUUGACAUAGAACCAUUCUGAUUUCCAGCCUGCCGGCCAUUUGCUUCGGUAGCUGAUUACAGGAAACUUUGCGGUUUUCCGGUAGGCAAAAUUGUAGCAACCGAAGUUUUCAUGAAGCCCAUCUUUUCUGGCCUUUGUUUGAUAAUGCAAUUCAUGAACUCGACAGAAACUGUCAGCAAAAGGCUCCACUGCUUGGCUUCGGAGGGCCCAAAUAUAAACGCUAAGCCUAACGAUAGCGUUAGGAGUUAACUGAUGAAGGUAGAUGCCAAACCUCUUCAAUAUCUCCGCAACAAUCUCGUGAACAGGGAAUCUUAGCCCAGCCUUUAAAAAGCUUUUGAAGAUGACAACCUCGUCCUUCUCUGGCUUCGGGGUGGUCUCUUCUCCCCCGAAGCGAAGUAGCUUCUUCUGAUCUUCACUGAAAAAACCUGCUUUCACCAUCUUGGCGAGAUCAACCUUUGAAACAGUCGAUUUUCCGAAGUCUAGGUGGCUGGGUUUGCUGGGCAUGGCAAUACGGUAGUCAUCUUCGGAGUCGGUUUCUUCAAUGUUCCCUUCUCCUUCGGCAGCUGUCGGGUUUGCUUCGGCAGCAGGCAUUUCUUCCGCAGUCACCAGUCCGGAGCGCUGCAUCGCUUCGGAGAUGGGCACAGUCUCCGAAGCUUCAGUUUCGUCCCCCUCACGCUCAACCCUAGCUGUAGAGCGAACUCUGGCCAUUUAAUUAUGAACUUGUGAAACUUUGAUACUUUUUUCUCCGAAGCAGGCUUCAAGAUGGAGCUUCGUUCAAAUCUGACAAACAAGCUUCGGUGAUGGUUAAAAAUUUUGGCAGCAAAACAGUGCAAAUAGCAGUAAAUGCUGUGGUAACUUCACACCUACUCGUCUGUUUAUAUAGUGCUGCAGGUAAGAAGGCGAAGCGGCAGGGUUUUUACACCAGGCGGGCAGUAACUUGUACUCGCUGCGCAGUGGACCGCAAAGACCAAACAGUGACUCUGCAAGGUGGGACCGACACGAUCUCGGGAAAUGAAUCGUUUCUCGGCAACGAGCUCAGGGAAGGUGUUUUUUGGACCUUCGGCUUCCCGAAGCUUGAGAGGAUUUUUUCACGGUUCAAGCUCGUUACGAAAAACGAUCUAGCGCCGCGAAAGGGGCUACUGUUGGGCCCAUGCUUCGUUGCGCCGAAGGUCUUGCGUGAAGAAGCAGCUUCGGCUGAAAUCGUCCCCAGGAAAUGGCCGAAGGUUCCUUUUUAUAGAGCUUCGGCGUUGCAAACCGACAUAAAGAUAGAAUGACCUUUUUAUCCUUAGAGGUCUAAGAUAAUGUUGUAAACUUUUGUAAAGGGCAUAAUUGUAAUUCGUCACAGGCUGCGUCCUGUGUCUAUAAAUAGAUGAACAGUACCCCCGUACUGUUCACACGCUGACUUGGCAUUUGCUUUUGCGUCACGCUUGUACUUUUUACCUUCUCUCAGGACCGAAGGUACAUUUGUAAUUUGAAAUCAUUUCUAUUUUUCCAUGUUAAUAAAAUAGAAAUGAUUCUAUGAUGAUGCUUAUAUUAUAUUUCAUGCUUUAUAUGAGUCCUUCGUCAUUACUUGUUAUGUUUACGAAGGUAUGUCUCUUAUGACCUUCGUCCGAAAUUCAUUAUUUCCCGAAGGGACAUAAUGCUUCGAAGGACGAAGGACUUUAACACUUAACACUUUUUAUGUUGCCUUGUUCUUAACUCUUAGCAUUUGAGAACAAGUCCCCAACACAACCCAUGUCAUCUUCUCCUACCAGCCACUCAGCACGGCGGCGCAGUCCACCACGGCGGCGCGCCAAGACAGCACAACGGCGCCCUGCCUGCCGCGCAUAAUCCCCCAAUUUCCUAAUCGAGCGGAGCUACACGAUCCAGGGAAUACUACGAAUCUAAAGGGAGAGCCCUUACCAGCGAUUAUGCCGCAGGGGCAUGCCCCCACGAAGCAGGGUGAGGUCGCGACGGCCCAUGACUUCGGCGAGGAAUCACCCAACUCCGGCCACUCCGCACAGGCACCACACGGCAAACGGUGAAUCGGUGACGCGCACAGCGGCUUCCUCCCCGGUGCUUUCUCUCACGCGACGAGGGUGCACGCACGUACCCAGGUGGACGCGUAUGGCCCGGCGGCAUCACUCCCACCCGAGCGAACAGCCGAGGCCAUGCGGCUUCACAUGCAGGCAUCGGCGCAUGUACUCUCACUCUUCCUCGCUUGCCAAUGGCGGCAUCCUGCGCUGCGUUUG